CAGGAUGAACGCUGGCGGCGUGCUUAACACAUGCAAGUCGAACGAAGCGCUUAAAUGGAUUUCUUCGGAUUGAAGUUUUUGUGACUGAGUGGCGGACGGGUGAGUAACGCGUGGGUAACCUGCCUCAUACAGGGGGAUAACAGUUAGAAAUGACUGCUAAUACCGCAUAAGCGCACAGUGCUGCAUGGCACAGUGUGAAAAACUCCGGUGGUAUGAGAUGGACUCGCGUCUGAUUAGCUAGUUGGUGGGGUAACGGCCUACCAAGGCGACGAUCAGUAGCCGGCCUGAGAGGGUGAACGGCCACAUUGGGACUGAGACACGGCCCAAACUCCUACGGGAGGCAGCAGUGGGGAAUAUUGCACAAUGGGGGAAACCCUGAUGCAGCGACGCCGCGUGAGCGAAGAAGUAUUUCGGUAUGUAAAGCUCUAUCAGCAGGGAAGAAAAUGACGGUACCUGACUAAGAAGCACCGGCUAAAUACGUGCCAGCAGCCGCGGUAAUACGUAUGGUGCAAGCGUUAUCCGGAUUUACUGGGUGUAAAGGGAGCGUAGACGGUUGUGUAAGUCUGAUGUGAAAGCCCGGGGCUCAACCCCGGGACUGCAUUGGAAACUAUGUAACUAGAGUGUCGGAGAGGUAAGCGGAAUUCCUAGUGUAGCGGUGAAAUGCGUAGAUAUUAGGAGGAACACCAGUGGCGAAGGCGGCUUACUGGACGAUCACUGACGUUGAGGCUCGAAAGCGUGGGGAGCAAACAGGAUUAGAUACCCUGGUAGUCCACGCCGUAA
This 780-nucleotide ribosomal RNA is filed under the name uncultured organism. RNAcentral describes it as "SSU rRNA". It matches the Rfam family "Bacterial small subunit ribosomal RNA", at positions 25 to 805 of the family's 1533-position model. The record is from RNAcentral.